Juglans microcarpa x Juglans regia is the source of this 1182-nucleotide RNA transcript. It is a transcript of the gene named 3-deoxy-manno-octulosonate cytidylyltransferase, mitochondrial-like, with no coding region annotated. NCBI's taxonomy places the organism in Eukaryota, Viridiplantae, Streptophyta, Magnoliopsida, Fagales, Juglandaceae. The transcript is spliced from 8 exons. The record is from RefSeq and is a predicted model, not a curated record.
AUGAGUCCCACAUCGACCACUUCCUCUGCCACUUCUUCUUCCUCAGGCUCCAACAGCACCACCAGUUCAUGGCUCGUGCAGGGCCUACUGGCCGGAGCUGCCAUUGCGGCCGCGGCUGGAGCUUACGCAGUGAUUUCUGCGCGCAGAUCCGCGAGAUUUCGGAGUCAGGUGAUUGGAAUCAUCCCGGCUCGUUUCGCUUCCUCCAGAUUCCAAGGCAAACCACUGGUCCCAAUCCUCGGAAAACCCAUGAUUCAGAGAACAUGGGAAAGAGCCAAACUUGCAACCACAUUAAACAAACUUGUUGUGGCCACCGAUGAUGAGAGGAUUGCAGAAAUCUGUCAAGGAUUUGGAGCUGAUGUGAUAAUGACAUCAGAAUCUUGCCAAAAUGGAACUGAACGAUGCAACGAGGCACUUCAAUAUCUUCGGAAGAAAUUUGACAUUGUUGUUAACAUUCAGGGGGAUGAGCCUCUUUUAGAGCCUGAGAUAAUAGAUGGGGUUGUUAAAGCUCUGCAGGCAUCCCCAGAUGCUUUGUUCAGCACUGCAGUUACGUCCUUGAAACCUGAACAUGCAUCUGAUCCAAAUCGUGUGAAAUGUGUGGUGGACGCUCAUGGAUAUGCAAUCUAUUUUUCAAGGGGUCUGAUCCCGUAUAACAAAAACGCAGGUCGGGGAAUGUCAAUCCACAAUACCCAUAUUUGCUUCAUCUUGGUAUCCAGAGCUAUGACGCACAGUUUUUAAAGAUAUAUCCAGAGCUUCCACCUACUCCAUUGCAACUAGAAGAAGAUUUAGAGCAGCUCAAAGUCCUUGAGAAUGGAUAUAAGAUGAAGGUGAUCAAGGUCGACCAUGAUGCUCAUGGUGUCGACACACCAGAAGAUGUGAAAAAGAUAGAAUCUUUGAUGCGGGAACGAAAUCUGUCCUAAUUCUCAACCAAAAGAAGAAGAAGAAGGAAAAAAGAAAGAAAGAAAGAACUAGCUUAUUAUUAGCUCAUCCACAACGAAAACUAGCAGGAUCCAGAAGUUCUUAAUGUGGCAGAUUCAGUAACCCUUCGCUGUAAUAACGUUUAGAAUUCUAUAGACUUAUCCAUUUGUUUCCAAAUUUUGGUGGUGUAUCCCCAAAGCAAGCCCGUUUGUGCUAGCUAGAUCUCUUGCCGUAAGCUAUAUAAUUUAGAGAAAGUAUAUUUGCAAC